CGCCAGCAGCCGCGGUAAUACGUAGGGGGCGAGCGUUGUCCGGAUUUACUGGGCGUAAAGAGCGCGUAGGCGGCUCGAUAAGUUGGCUGUGAAAGGUCCUGGCUCAACUGGGAUAAGUCAGCCGAGACUGUCGGGCUAGAGGGCGGUAGAGGAAGGUGGAAUUCCGGGUGUAGUGGUGAAAUGCGUAGAUAUCCGGAGGAACACCGGUGGCGAAGGCGGCCUUCUGGGCCGUACCUGACGCUGAGGCGCGAAAGCGUGGGGAGCGAACUGAAUUAGAUACUCAGGUAGUCCACGCCCUAAACGAUGGACGCUAGGUGUAGGGGGUAUCGACCCCUCCUGUGCCGAAGCUAACGCAUUAAGCGUCCCGCCUGGGGAGUACGGCCGCAAGGCUAAAACUUAAAGGAAUUGGCGGGGGAU
Molecule: ribosomal RNA, 417 nt
Filed under: uncultured bacterium
Lineage: Bacteria
Description: bacterial SSU rRNA
Rfam family: Bacterial small subunit ribosomal RNA
Source: RNAcentral